GCCGUCCGAAAAUGCUGCCUCUACGUGGCGGACAGCAGGCAACGGAGUGCAUCUGAACAUCUCCGGCUAAAGCAUCA
RNAcentral lists this ribozyme (77 nucleotides) under unclassified sequences. RNAcentral's name for it is "HDV ribozyme from F. prausnitzii". It matches the Rfam family "HDV ribozyme from F. prausnitzii". The record is from RNAcentral.